AGUGAACGCUGGCGGUAGGCCUAACACAUGCAAGUCGAACGGCAGCACAGUAAGAGCUUGCUCUUACGGGUGGCGAGUGGCGGACGGGUGAGGAAUACAUCGGAAUCUACUUUUUCGUGGGGGAUAACGUAGGGAAACUUACGCUAAUACCGCAUAAGACCUACGGGUGAAAGCAGGGGAUCUUCGGACCUUGCGCGAUUGAAUGAGCCGAUGUCGGAUUAGCUAGUUGGCGGGGUAAAGGCCCACCAAGGCGACGAUCCGUAGCUGGUCUGAGAGGAUGAUCAGCCACACUGGAACUGAGGCACGGUCCAGACUCCUACGGGAGGCAGCAGUGGGGAAUAUUGGACAAUGGGCGCAAGCCUGAUCCAGCCAUACCGCGUGGGUGAAGAAGGCCUUCGGGUUGUAAAGCCCUUUUGUUGGGAAAGAAAAGCAGCAGGUUAAUACCCCGCUGUUCUGACGGUACCCAAAGAAUAAGCACCGGCUAACUUCGUG
RNAcentral lists this ribosomal RNA (492 nucleotides) under uncultured bacterium. RNAcentral describes it as "partial 16S ribosomal RNA". It matches the Rfam family "Bacterial small subunit ribosomal RNA", at positions 29 to 507 of the family's 1533-position model. The record is from RNAcentral.